UACGUAGGGGGCAAGCGUUAUCCGGAUUUACUGGGUGUAAAGGGAGCGUAGGCGGUAAUGCAAGUCAGAAGUGAAAGCCCGGGGCUCAACUCCGGGACUGCUUUUGAAACUGUGUUGCUAGAUUGCAGGAGAGGUAAGUGGAAUUCCUAGUGUAGCGGUGAAAUGCGUAGAUAUUAGGAGGAACACCAGUGGCGAAGGCGGCUUACUGGACUGUAAAUGACGCUAAGGCUCGAAAGCGUGGGGAGCAAACAGG
Molecule: ribosomal RNA, 253 nt
Filed under: uncultured bacterium
Lineage: Bacteria
Description: partial 16S ribosomal RNA
Rfam family: Bacterial small subunit ribosomal RNA
Source: RNAcentral